RNAcentral lists this long non-coding RNA (1808 nucleotides) under Acyrthosiphon pisum (pea aphid). Its description in RNAcentral is "uncharacterized LOC115033636". The record is from RNAcentral. Lineage: Eukaryota; Metazoa; Arthropoda; Insecta; Hemiptera; Aphididae.
AUUGUGAGUUAGUAAAUUAGAAGACCCGACAUUAUGUGCGUAAUGUUGUAAAGUUCUUUUGAUAUUGUAAUUUAUCUGUUACAUGGUGUUAUCUUUUGAUGUUAAAAAUUAUCUACAAAUGCUCUAUUGUAUAUAAAUAUUAAUUAAUAUGUAUUAGUAGGCAUACAAAUAUAGUACAUUUUACUAUACCUACGUUUGUUAAUAUAAUGUAAACAUUACUUAGUAUGCUAUAGUGACGCGUUCAUUUGAUACAUAACUUAUGUAGGUAUACACUCUUAUUGUUUAUAUUUUUGAAUAUAUUUGAAUUAACCUCAGCUCACUAUUGGCCAUGAAGGUGACGUAUUCCUGGUUAAUAUAUUCAUAUUUGUUUUUCGGAUCCGGCAUUUUGUGUGACAGAAAAUAUGAUGAUUCUUGCUCAAUGUUGGUAACUGUAGUAUAAUUAAUAAACAUUAUGUUAUUAUAAGUGACGAAAAUAGUGGUGAUUGGGGCCUUGGGGCAUAGAUCCCUAAAGGUUUAAUAAGCACUAUUAGUAGGUACCUAUACGAUCUUUAUUUGGGUACCUGGGGAUUAGGCCACAAUAAGCCUUUUUUUAAAAAUAUGAACAGUAAUAUUGUUCUACUAAAAUUUUAAAUUUAUAAAAUUAGAUCAGGUGAUCGGGUCACUGUUUUAUUUUUACUUUAUUAUUAAAUCCGGCAAAGCGAAAUUUAUAUAAGAUACAAAUAGAAUUGUAGGAACAUUUAAAGUGAGAAAAGUAAUUUUAAUAUGAAAGAAAUAUAUUUUGAAUGAAAAUAUAAAUAUAAAAAAAAGGAAAUACCUGCGUCCUGCAGAUUUAAAUUUGUGAAAUCUCAUAUGUGUAUUAUUUAAAAAGAACAUUUUAUUUUAAGGUAAUUGAAAAAAAAAACAAUAUAUAAUUUCAUUUCAUUUUCUGUAGAGCUAGUUUUGUAUUUUAUAUUUAUUCAAAAUAAAAGAAUGUUAUAAUUAUAUAGGUACUGUAGCUUGUAAAAUAGAGGUUAUAUGUUCGUAUUUACAUAUUUAUAUAUUUGUGAUGUAUAUAGUAUUAUGUAGUUCAAUCCCUGGAUAACCAUUUAAAAUUAUAUAUUUUAUUUGUGGCCUAUUACCCGGUUAAUAAAAUGUAAAUAAAUAUUAUAUACUAUGCAGGUAGAUAAAAUGUGACCGCCCAAUUAAUAGGUACCAUCUAUCAAUAUAAUAUAAUCUAUAUUUAAUAUAAUGUGUUCUUAGUACUUAGCAUGCGAUAGACCUUAUGGCUUAUACUCAUAGACGGAGCAUCCAGUGGGAUGCGGGUUGGUGGUGCGGUCAUUCCUAGGGUACUAGCAAUGAUUUCUUGCGUCCAAAAACAUUGUUCUUAACACUUACUAUAUAAUAUUAUACUAAUAUUAUACAACUUUAUGAAUAUUUUACUAUGUGAUAAUGCUAUAUUAUAAUAUUUAAAUAUGAUAUAUAUCAGGGUUGGCGAAUCUAUGUCAGGCGUGUCACGGAGUGACACGCGCGCAUUAAUUCAGUGACACGCCAAUUUAAAACAUAAUUCAUAAUUUUUACUUCACUUUCCAAAAAAAUUAUAGAUAAUUUGAAACUAUGUUUAACUUAUUAUUGGAAUAUAUCGUAAGAUAUUGUAAUCUGUACUUUCCAUUUCCUAAGCUCGUAAACGAAACGAUUAGAUUAUCAAUAAAUUCGUUAGGAUUUACCAAUUAAUAGCGUUUAAGUACAAACGUUGUAACGUAGGUACAACAGAACAGUCGACAGUCGUCAACAGAUAGUUUCGGAUGCCUAAGGCGAUGACUAAAAUAAUU